CACAGAACAAACGGAUAGAACAGUCAGGAAGGACAGAGUAGAAGAAAAAAGGAGAAAAGAAAAAAGAAGAAGAAAAAUACAGAGAGCAGACGGGGACAUGUGCAUUUUUUCCUCGGCUGGCAGCCUCGAUUCCUCCUUCAGCUCCCUCUGCUCACGACUCCCUCUCUCCCUCAGUUACUGCCUCUCCUCGAACCGGUUAAGUCGGCCUUGGAGUCCCUUCUAGGUCCCUCGAGUUGUAGCUGCUGUCACUGAGCCCCCCGUAGCUAGUGUGUUGGUCCCUGGCAGUCCCUCCGUCCUGUGAGGAAGGAAAGGGCCCUAAAUCCCUUCUUGUGGUUCCCUUGUCACCUCACGUGAUUUCCCUUCGAUAUCAGCUCAAAGAAGGUCGAGCCCAAUCCUUUAGGAUACGAUUCACACGGGGUCCAACGCCCCUAACCGUCAAUCAUCGGGUCUAACGCCCUAUACAUACGAAUGCGCGCGACCCGAGUGCUAUAUGGGGUCUUGCCUUGGGUCACCAUCUUGACCCGUUUAGUAUCCAUGUAAGGGAUGACUCGGGUCAAUGCACAUGAAACGAGGUUAGACAAUCACCCAGGAGCUCGACCGGUCCCACGACUAUCUUGAGGACCAUUCCGUCCUCUUGAAAAUCCGUCGGUCCGGUCGGACCUAAUCUUCGGCUCUCAUGAGCUCGCGUCGUUUUAAUUUCAGUUUCGAUUUUUGCUAAGCAUACGAUGAGUUUGAGUAGAAUAAUGACCGAACAUGAAUUGACCGGGAUCCAGUCGUUGUAAUUUGUAUUUUUAUUUAUUUGAGAGAAUAGUGUAA
Molecule: non-coding RNA, 816 nt
Organism: Punica granatum (pomegranate)
Lineage: Eukaryota; Viridiplantae; Streptophyta; Magnoliopsida; Myrtales; Lythraceae
Source: RefSeq, a predicted model, not a curated record